Xyrichtys novacula (pearly razorfish) is the source of this 4136-nucleotide non-coding RNA. NCBI's taxonomy places the organism in Eukaryota, Metazoa, Chordata, Actinopteri, Labriformes, Labridae. The record is from the annotation of a GenBank genome assembly.
GAGGAAGAGCUUUCAGCUACCAGGCACCUCUCCUCUGGAAUCAUUUACCGCUCGAGGUUCGGGGGGCAGACACCCUCUCAACUUUCAAGAGUAGACUUAAAACGUUCCUCUUUGAUAAAGCUUAAAGUUGGGGCUGAUUUGAACCAGCUCUUAGUUAUGCUGCUAUAGGUUUAGACUGCCAGGGUUAUCUGGCACACUGAGCUAGAGUCUGUCUCCAUCUCUCCUUUAGAUCUUUAUGUCCCAUAUAAUCACUAACCAGAUUUCUCUCUCUCUGAGUGUCUCUGAGUCUCUUAGCUUCCCCUGGACUAAUGCUGCAGAUGGUCUGCUUGAUUGUCCACCCCAGGCCCUGAGCUCCUCCAUCUCUAAGGCUCCUCUGGACCGUUGCUGCAGACACUCUCUAGGUUGCUCUGGACUGAUGGCUGCUGCAGACCUGCCUGACUCCAGCCGCAUCGUCUACGAUUGUCCUCCUCAGGCCCUGAGCACCUUCUUCUCUUGGGUUCCUCUGGACUGUUACUGCAGACAUGAACAUCAGCCUCACUGACAUUAAUAACAUAAAACUAGAGUUGACUACUAAUAGGCCUGCUGACUAUAAUCACAUUUAAUUAAUUUAACAUAGUCCAUAAUUACUCAUAUCCUAAUCCCUGUAAACUGAAUUCAUUUAGUUUCACCAUUGAGCUGUUGUUGUUGUUGCUGUUGUUCCUGCUGUCCCCUGUCUCUCUCUCUCACCCUCGUUCUCUACUCUCUCUCCCUCCCCCAGUGGCAUGGUGGCCGUCUAGCAUGAGUCUGGUCCUGCUCAAGGUUUCUGCCUGUUAAAAGGAAGUUUUUUUCUUGCCACUGCUACUCAUGUUAGAUGAGAUGGGCCAAAACCCAUCUUAGGUUGGUUCUUGAUCAUCAAACAAUGAACGUGGUCUAGACCUGCUCUUGUUCUUUGAAAAGCGUCUUGGGAUGAUGACUGUUGUGAAUUGGCGCCAUAUAAAUAAAACUUGAUUGAUUGAUUGAAAGACUACAAUUUAUUUAAAAUGCUGCUGUCAGGCUUAUAACACUUAGUAAGAGAAACAGCCAUAUAACACCAGUCCCUCCUGCCCUUCAGUGGCUCCCUGUGAGUUUUAGAAGAGAUUCGAAGAUUCUGCUGCUUCUUUGUAAAGGCUGAAAUGGCUCCAUCCUAUAUCUGUGAUCUGCUAACUCCCUUUGAGCUUGAUCCCAGCCUGAGGUCCUCUAACAGGGCCCUCCUCAUGGUUUAUAAAUCUCUACUGGUUACAAGAGGUGACCAAGCAGUUGCAAUUGGUGCUGGACUCUCUGCCUGAGGAUAUCAAACAGACAAACUCAGUGUUCCUCCUUUGAAUCUCUUCUCAAAACUCUAUUUGGCUCAUUGGCUUUGUUGUGUGCUUGUUGCCUUACAUUAUUACUUAAGUAUUGGAUCUUACUUUACUGUAAACUAUUUUAAUUAGUUAUUUGAUUAAAAUUUAAUUAAACUCAUUGUUUUUAAAAAAUCUUAGCUAUUUUAACUGUUAAAGAUCCUGUGGGGAACUUUAAGUUUGUGUUAGUUUUAGCGCCCCUUGUGGACAAAGAGGCCUUUGCCUAUCCAGUACGCUACAUGCUUGAGUAGUGAUUUAUGUCAACACAUCCCAUAAUGCUGAUUUUUGAUUGUCAAAUGUGUCAUUUAUUGAAAACAGUUUAGAUGAAAGUUGUAAAAACAGGGUUGUUAUUAUAGACUUGAACCUAUCACCUCACAUGGGUUUCAGACAUUAAAUAUAAGGGCAUAAGUCUUGUUCAUUAUAGUUUGUUAGUAUUAUUAUUAUUUUUUGCCUUUGUUCAUCACUAGUUUGCAGGAGCUUUUUAAACAAACCUAAUCGAAGAGUCUGAACUGAGAAUUACCAUACUUGACAUGCUAGCAAUUUCCACCCUCAUUACAACUGUAACAAAGGACCAAAUAUCUCCAUAUAACAUGAAUAAGUAUAAUCCUACUGUGGGGCACUACCUGUCUCUUUGUCACUGUAUAUUACGUGUAACUUUAGAUAAACUGAUUUUGAAAACAAAAUUUCACCUUUAACCCUCUCAAUUUGUCCUACCCCGAUGUGUCCUAAUGUUCGAUUUUCUUCUCCUGUUUGAGUCCAUCCACUGUCCUCUCCCUGUCUUGUGCAGUCCCCUCUGCCAUUUCACUCAAUUAUCCCAUUAACACUGCACAUACUUUCAUCUCCUUUUGCCAGCCCCUUCCUGAUGUUUCCUUCCACACAGCGAUUUCAAUCUGAGUGGUAAACACUUAACCUUUGACCUGCUCAAUAGUCCUCACAAUAGCAGCCUGCUUCUACAUCAAUAACCAUUGCUCUUUGAACACCGUAGGGUCAAUGCACCUUUUUCAACUGAAGUGAUUGUAACAAUUGGAGCCAAAAUGGACUAUCAAAAUAAUGACACUGAACAGUGGGGAUUUAUCGGACUUCAGUGCCUGUCAAUGAGGUUACAUACUCUCCUCUACACUCUCUGGGUCCCUAUGGUGCGAGUGACCCACAUUUGGAAUCUAUCUAAUAAUUUCAGUCUGUCUAAACCAGAUAUUCAGGGGUGUUUGAGGGCAGUCUAUCAGUUGGGUUGCACAGUGGGGGUUGUUAGACCUUUCCACUUAAACUCUAGAAAACCAGCACGGUUUCAGAGUACUCCUUCACUUCAGUGCUGACGCUGGUUGGAUGUAUGUGUUCAGAAAAAUACAGUAAAAUAAAGCAUUCACAACACACAAGACAUGAUUUAAGCAAAGAAUAAGUCAUUAUCUUUAAACUGUUGCCAUGCCUGAGUACAGCACUGAAUAAAAGAGAGCUGUUAUAGGCUCUAAUGGUACUUCAAAACUAGCUGCCUAUUUGCAAGAACAUAACUAUUAUAUAAGCUGUACAAGUCUUUAUUCUGAACAUUCAUAUUUUACACUGACUUCCUUGCAAGCAUAUAUAAAAUGGAUGGUAAUGGAUAGUUUAUUGCUAAUGCCGGGGAAGUUGACAUGAAAAUGAUGAAAAGGCACAGCUCACUGAUUAGAAAUGGAGUUAUUAUUAUUCAGUCUCUUUCUCUAUCAUAAGAUCUUGAUUGAACUGCUUCCAAUGAAGACAGAACAUUAAACUCAAAGUCAACAGAAACAAGCUGUUUUUUUCUAGUAAAAAUAACCAUCUAUUAAUAAUGCAUCCACAUAACAACAGUCAUAAUUCCCCCUCUGUGAAUGUUUUUUUCUGUUUUUUUUUUUAUGAAAGGAGGAUGACCAGGAAGAUUCAGUUCAUAACCACAGUUACUCUCUGGUUAUCUAAAACAAUGUAAGUUUGCUUUGUUGAACAGAUUUGAUGCUGCUUGCAAAAAUUUUAGAGGAUAAUUUAGGUGUGUAAAAAUAUUCAAUAUAGAUGAAUGGUUACACAAAGAGUGGCUUAAAGGCAUGGUUGAUGAUUGGAAAGAUUGGUAAUUACCAUGAACCUCAUUUAUAUGGCGAUCAUGAUCCUAUAGUGCGAUCUUCACAAAGUGAAGAGAAAAAAGAAUGGAAAAAAUCCGUUCACCCUAGCAGGUGCAGGGCUACAAAAACAUUAGCCAAUGGGAGUCAUCUGUCCCGGACAGCUCCUAUUGGUCAGUCUCCUCCUCCACCUCUCCAUCCAAUCACCUCACUGUAUUCAACACACCCCUACCCGUAGUUCUGACCCGUCCCCUCCCACUUUCCCAGCCCUCCUCGGAGCUCUGAGCAGCUAAAAGUAGCAUAGCAGCUUAGCUACAGGAGCUGUGAUGGAGAAGAACACAAAAAAACCCUACUUCUUCUUGCCCCAUCACCAAAAGUGGGAUGAAAACGCAAGAAGACAGAAGAAAGGGUAGAGUCGAAGAGGAAAUGUGACCAAGUAAGGAAUUUAACUCGAAUAAACAUCCGAUCAUCCUUCGAGCGGUGGAGAAAGCUCCACCAGGAUUUGGGCCUUAAAACAGACGAUGAGACAGCAAGGUUUUUGUUGAACAGAUGAUUUUUGCCUUUUAUCCUAGCAGAUUUUACAUAAAUAACCCUUAUUAGUCUCUGCAAUGUCAACACGGUAGCUGUCCAGGCAGCUGUAGGCGGUGCUCGCGAGAAGAGCUAAAGUUUACUGCCACUAGUCACUAGCAAUCCGAUAUGGUGAAUUCUAUUUGAAGCUAACAUA